UCUUGACCACGUUCCUUCCGAUCUGCAUACUUAGCUUAAACGAACGCACCAUGACUGAACUUGGCAACGCUCACCAAACGAACGCACCAUGACCAACGCAGCGAGCUGUCAAAAAUUUUCACUUGCGUGCGUGUUCAAUCACGUUGGUGGUGGCCGCGGAUUUAUUUGAGAUUUUCAACGUGGGUCAAGUAGUGUGUGAUUGUGAAAAAGGAUCCUCUGUCGUUUAAUCGUGCGGGUGGCCGUACCGGAACAGCUCCUAAAUGGCGGAAUGAGCAAAUCUGGGCGCUCGUUUUGGAAAAGAAGGCCCGGCUCCAGCUGCGGACUUUCCCGGCCGCCGUCAUGACGUUCCGGGUGUUGGUUCUGCCGAGUGACGGACCAGGGGACUAUUUCGAUCGUGGAUUAAGGAUGAGCCAAGUAAUGCUGCCGGG
Long non-coding RNA from Culex quinquefasciatus (southern house mosquito), 428 nucleotides. RefSeq lists it as uncharacterized. Lineage: Eukaryota; Metazoa; Arthropoda; Insecta; Diptera; Culicidae. The record is from RefSeq and is a predicted model, not a curated record. The transcript is spliced from 3 exons.